Molecule: ribosomal RNA, 606 nt
Filed under: Nemalecium lighti
Lineage: Eukaryota; Metazoa; Cnidaria; Hydrozoa; Leptothecata; Haleciidae
Description: partial large subunit ribosomal RNA
Rfam family: Bacterial large subunit ribosomal RNA
Source: RNAcentral
AAAACAUAGCCCUAGAAAUUAUCUAAGGUGUAGCCUGCCCAGUGAUUAAUAAUCUUAAAAAUAAUAUUUUUAGUAAGUUAAUUAAAAGGAAGCGGUAACCUUGACUGUAGUAAUGUAGCGUAAUCAUUCGUCACUUAAUUAGUGAAUAGUAUGAAUGGCUGAACGAAUUUUCCACUGUCUUAAAAUUAUCCCUGUUAAUUUAAGAUAAUAGUUAAGACGCUAUUUAAAAUUGUUAGACGAAGAGUCCCUAUAGAGCUUAACUAUAAUCUACUCCUUAUAUUUAUUGCUAAUUUGGUGUAGAUUGGUAGUUUAAUUGGGGAGAUUACCUUUUAAAAAUAACAAAGGCAAACAAAAUUAAUAUUCUUUACCUUAAUUUAUUGUAUAAUCCAUAAAUUUAACAAUUACUAAAGUAGGUUAUAAUGACCCGUCUAACUCUUGCAAGCUUAGACGAUUAAUAAAUAAAAGCUACCUUAGGGAUAACAGGAUAAUUUUAACCGAAAGUCCUUAUUGAAGUUAAAGUUUGUCACCUCUAUGUUGAAUUAAGAUAUCCUAAUGAUGCAGAAGUCAUUGAUGGUAGGUCUGUUCGACCUUUAAAAUCUUACAUGA